This 666-nucleotide long non-coding RNA is filed under the name Mytilus galloprovincialis (Mediterranean mussel). The record is from RNAcentral. Lineage: Eukaryota; Metazoa; Mollusca; Bivalvia; Mytilida; Mytilidae.
UUGGAUGUUUGACAGUGUCUUAUGACAAAAGGAGUUCUAUGUUUUUCCUAUAUGGUGUUAUUAGUUGUGUUGCACGAUGACAAACAAUCUGAGCAUUAGGAGUGUUGUUUAUUUAUUAUUUAGUUUUUAUGUUCAAGACGGGCAUGGAAGAGACAUUAAUUGCAUUAGUUACCAAAUGAUUAUGAUAGAAUAUGUUCCACAUCUUUGAUUUUGGAUACAUUUUGUAGCUAGGAGAGCAACACAUAAUACAUUUUUCUAGGUUCAUAUUUUCAUGUGUUUUUUUUUCUAAAUGGGAGAUGAUAUCUAGAUUUGAGAACAUGAUAUAAGGAGCCUGUAAUUCAGUGGUUGUCGUUUGUUUAUGUGUUACAUAUUCGUUUUCAUUUAUUUUUUGUACAUAAAUAAGGCUGUUAGUCUUCCCGUUUAAAUUGUUUUACAUUGUCAUUUCAGGGCCUUUUAUAGAUGAUUAUGCGGAAUUGGCUUUGCUCAUUGUUGAUGGCCUUACGGUGACCUGUAGUUGUUAAUUUCUGUGUCAUUUUGGUCUCUUGUGGAGAAUUUAUCUCAUUGGCAAUCAUACCACAUCUUUUUUAUAUGUAUUUGCUUACUAUUUGUAUGGUUCUAUUUAUAUUACUUUGUGGAGGAUCGUCAGUAUCAUUAGUAAAAAAAAAU